Molecule: ribosomal RNA, 491 nt
Filed under: uncultured bacterium
Lineage: Bacteria
Description: partial 16S ribosomal RNA
Rfam family: Bacterial small subunit ribosomal RNA
Source: RNAcentral
AGUGAACGCUGGCGGUAGGCCUAACGCAUGCAAGUCGAACGGCAGCACAGUAAGAGCUUGCUCUUACGGGUGGCGAGUGGCGGACGGGUGAGGAAUACAUCGGAAUCUACUUUUUCGUGGGGGAUAACGUAGGGAAACUUACGCUAAUACCGCAUACGACCUACGGGUGAAAGCAGGGGAUCUUCGGACCUUGCGCGAUUGAAUGAGCCGAUGUCGGAUUAGCUAGUUGGCGGGGUAAAGGCCCACCAAGGCGACGAUCCGUAGCUGGUCUGAGAGGAUGAUCAGCCACACUGGAACUGAGACACGGUCCAGACUCCUACGGGAGGCAGCAGUGGGGAAUAUUGGACAAUGGGCGCAAGCCUGAUCCAGCCAUACCGCGUGGGUGAAGAAGGCCUUCGGGUUGUAAAGCCCUUUUGUUGGGAAAGAAAAGCAGCAGGUUAAUACCCCGCUGUUCUGACGGUACCCAAAGAAUAAGCACCGGCUAACUUCGU